UAGGGAGUCUUCGGCAAUGGACGAAAGUCUGACCGAGCAACGCCGCGUGAGUGAAGAAGGUUUUCGGAUCGUAAAACUCUGUUGGUAGAGAAGAACGUUGGUGAGAGUGGAAAGCUCAUCAAGUGACGGUAACUACCCAGAAAGGGACGGCUAACUACGUGCCAG
RNAcentral lists this ribosomal RNA (165 nucleotides) under uncultured bacterium. RNAcentral describes it as "partial 16S rRNA". It matches the Rfam family "Bacterial small subunit ribosomal RNA", at positions 355 to 511 of the family's 1533-position model. The record is from RNAcentral.